ACUGACCUGACCUGGCCGCCCCGGCGACCCGCCUCCCGCCUCCACGUCUGCCCCGCCCCACGCCUCCCCUUGCCCCCCAGUACCCAUCACCAUCCUGACUCUCCCACGGCCGCGGCCUGCGUCGCCGCCUGACUCCGAGCACGAGCAGUCUUCUGCCCAUUCCACUCCCGCCGGCGAGCUCCGCUCGGUGACGUCCUGAGGACCUGAACGCGACCGAUGAGCGCCGUCGGGCAUCGAGAUCGACUCAGCUGCUCGAGAAUUUGAGGUACACUUUCUGCCUCUUUAUUCUGCGCUCCUGAAUGCUCGGGACCUGCGGUGCCUACACAGACUUGCAUUUAAGACGUAACUUUGAUGAGAAGAUUGGCAGAACGAUUAUCUUACAUUCCCAGAUCGCUUUCCUUGAUACAAUUCAAGGAAAUGUCCUCAUUCGCUGCUGGUCAUGGACGCCGUCCCAAGAAGAAGCUUUAUCACCGUGAGCCUGGUCUCGACAAGGCCAUGGACCUCCAAAAGAAGCCCGCCCUCCUCCUCCGUCUCCGUGAGCUCAUCCUGGCCCAAAAGACAGGUUCACUACUUGUACGUGACCUUGAAAAGGAGGUUGGCUUUGUGCAAAAAUGGAACUUUGUUGCACUGAUUGAGCGCCACCCCAAUAUCUUCCGUGUCUCUGGUGGAAGUACAUCGCGUGAACCCAUUGCUGUCACGCUUACUGAGAAGGCCAGAAAUAUUUCUGGCGAGGAGAUCCAAGCACAGGAGCUAAUGGAACCUAUCUUGGUAAGAAAUCUGAGGAAGCUGUUAAUGAUGUCCAUGGACUGCCAGAUCCCUUUAGAGAAGAUUGAGCUCAUCCAACCUGAAUUGGGUCUACCAAAGAAUUUCAAGGACAAGUUGAUUCCUAGUUACCCUGAUUUUUUUUCAAUACGUGACGUGAGAGGGUUGGACCAUCUGUGUUUGGAGAGUUGGGAUUCUUCACUAGCAGUCACAGCACGAGAAGAAAAAUUGAACUUCGAUGGUUUCCAAAUGGAGUACAGAGGGGUUCCUAAAGAUGGAAAUUUACUGGGUCCUUUUGCUUUCAAGUUAAAGUAUCCAGCAGGAUUUAGGCCCAACCGGAAGUACCUUGAGGAGGUAGUCAGGUGGCAGAAGAUGGCGUUUCCUUCACCUUAUUUGAACGCUAGGCGAGUGGAGCCUGCAACUCCACAGGCUCGGAAGCGAUCUGUUGCUGUUCUACAUGAGGUCUUAAGCUUGACAAUGCAGAAACGACUGACAUCUGACAAGCUAGAAGUCUUCCAUAACGAGUACAGGCUGCCAUGCAAGCUACUCCUUUGUUUGAUAAAAAAUCAUGGGAUUUUCUACAUCACUAACAAGGGAGCAAGAAGUACCGUCUUUCUCAAGGAGGCCUACGAUGAUACUAAUCUCAUUGAGAAGUGUCCUCUACUGAAAUUCCAUGAUCAGUUUUCCUCUUUAAUUGGACGGCCAUGCUCCGACUUGAAUACUCCACUGGCAUUAUAGCUCGAGUAUUGAUUUACAUGAGAAGCAAAACCAUGGUGUGUCUGGCUGGUGCACCAUCUUAGUUGAUUUCUUGAUGCUCACAUGAGCCCAUUUGCACACAACAAACUAUAUUGCCCCGUUUCUGUUAAGCGAGACCAACGCACGGGGUUAUAAACUUAUAAUCCUCACUGGCAAUUGUUCAGCGGAUGGAACUCAUAGGGGGCAACUAUAAGCGAAGAUGGCCUAGCAGUUACUGUAUGAUCUUUAUCCAGCAGGAACAGUUAUGCAGCAAGCUGGCAUGAAACCUUUCUUCUCUUGUUAAUAUGUCAGCACAAAUAUUGCAGUCCAGCGAUAACCUGUCAGUCUGUGUGUGUUGUCAGAUUAUUAUGUAGCGAGUCUCUGGUACUGAUAUUGUUUCUGUGUGAUGUAGCUUUGUGUCAAAAUCAGUAGGCUGUGCGCCAGUCAAAGCACAGGAACAAUGCAAUGGAGUGCUUUGAUGGAUUGAGCGAUGGCUGAACAAUGGCAUCCUCCAAAAGGCUGUAGGCUAGGUGCUUGUUUAGCCCUACCAGCGAGAUCAGGGAAUCACCGCUUACCGUUGAUCUCGGACCGGAUUCUGAGAACGCAGAGCUUUGCCGGUUUGUUACGCCAAUCAAUAUAACCCACAGCAGGCUAUUCAUGGGCAGGUUUGGAUCCCUUUCAGGCUAAUCUUGAGUACCUGGUGAUAUAUUCCUGCAUUGAAGUGGUUGUCAACAUAGAAUGGUGCCUUGGUGGGGGGUGCAUAUAUACUUAUAACUCCAACACCAAGCACAGCUCUCAGUGGGAUCGAAUCAGACGGAACAUGUGCCAAGUAAAGAAGGACCGACAAAAUUGUGCACAGGUGAGACGGGGAAGGCCAACUGGCCGCUGCUCAAUUAUAUGACCCCUGAAAGUGAAGAGCAUGAACAGGAGCGGCGAUUGGGGCCAGAUUCUGCAGACACUGAGGGGAGCACCCACCUAUGAUGGUGGUCAGAUGCACUGAAAGCUAGAUUUGGAUGGGUGCUAGUGGCUUACCCAGAAAAAAGUCAAGCAAAUACUACAACGGAUGGAGACCGGAGCCCCCCCGCCCUUUCCUGAUACUGAUUGUUUUUCUUCUCCUGGUAAGCAUUUCCAAACCAUGUUAUUUCCGCAACUUGCACUCUGAACCUCUCUUAAUGCCUUUUUUUUCAGGUCUAUUAUUGGCCACCAACAGCACUUACUUUACUUGCCCUUCAGCCACUUUCAGCCUCUAUUGACCCAUCUGGAUUUCUUUCCAGUUGAUGUGCCUUUCUUGUACACCAGUCUUUGCUUGCCUGUCCGUGUCCCUGCCCCUGAGUAGGGUUGCCUGCUCCACAAACAACUUGGUUGUGUGGCUAUGGGCUAGGGCCUGCCCUUUUUAAGUUGGCAACUUCCACAAAAUCCACGAGUUACCACUGCUUCAGGAGCUGGCUUUGGUCGAAUGCUUGCAUGGUUUUGCUGUCUCUUUCUCCGGACCCUGCCUUGACUUUAGGAAGCUACCACCAUCUUUACUUGUCUUUCACUUUGAUUCUUAUAGUUACCACUAGAC
Triticum dicoccoides is the source of this 3061-nucleotide RNA transcript. It is a transcript of the gene named protein WHAT'S THIS FACTOR 1 homolog, chloroplastic-like, with no coding region annotated. The record is from RefSeq and is a predicted model, not a curated record. Lineage: Eukaryota; Viridiplantae; Streptophyta; Magnoliopsida; Poales; Poaceae. The transcript has 3 exons.